This 521-nucleotide ribosomal RNA is filed under the name uncultured bacterium. RNAcentral's name for it is "bacterial SSU rRNA". It matches the Rfam family "Bacterial small subunit ribosomal RNA", at positions 114 to 655 of the family's 1533-position model. The record is from RNAcentral.
AACGUGAGCAACCUACCCUUGACACUGGGAUAACAGUUGGAACAGCUGCUAAUACCGGAUAUGAACCUCACAGGCAUCUGAGAGGUUGGAAAGCUCCGACGGUCAAGGAUGGGCUCGCGGCCUAUCAGCUUGUUGGUGAGGUAACGGCUCACCAAGGCGACGACGGGUAGCCGGCCUGAGAGGGCGACCGGCCACACUGGGACUGAGAUACGGCCCAGACUCCUACGGGAGGCAGCAGUGGGGAAUAUUGCGCAAUGGGCGAAAGCCUGACGCAGCAACGCCGCGUGCGGGAUGACGGCCUUCGGGUUGUAAACCGCUUUCAGCAGGGACGAAACUGACGGUACCUGCAGAAGAAGCACCGGCUAACUACGUGCCAGCAGCCGCGGUGAUACGUAGGGUGCGAGCGUUGUCCGGAAUUAUUGGGCGUAAAGAGCUCGUAGGCGGUCUGUCGCGUCGGAAGUGAAAACUCGGGGCUCAACCCCGAGCCUGCUUUCGAUACGGGCAGACUUGAGGAAUGUAGG